GUGUCAGCCGCCGCGGUAAUACAGAGGGUGCGAGCGUUGUCCGGAAUCACUGGGCGUAAAGGGCGCGUAGGCGGCCUGGUAAGCGUGCGGUGAAAGCCCGGGGCUCAACCCCGGGUCGGCCGUGCGAACUGCUGGGCUCGAGCACUGUAGAGGCAGGUGGAAUUCCGGGUGUAGCGGUGGAAUGCGUAGAGAUCCGGAAGAACACCGGUGGCGAAGGCGGCCUGCUGGGCAGUGACUCGCAAGAGUCAAUAGCUGACGCUGAGGCGCGACAGCGUGGGGAGCAAACAGGAUUAGAUACCCUGGUAGUCCACGCCGUAAACGAUGGGCACUAGAUGCUUGGGGGAGCGACCCUCCGAGUGUCGGCGCUAACGCAUUAAGUGCCCCGCCUGGGGAGUACGGCCGCAAGGCUGAA
RNAcentral lists this ribosomal RNA (412 nucleotides) under uncultured bacterium. RNAcentral describes it as "bacterial SSU rRNA". It matches the Rfam family "Bacterial small subunit ribosomal RNA", at positions 505 to 898 of the family's 1533-position model. The record is from RNAcentral.